RNAcentral lists this ribosomal RNA (443 nucleotides) under uncultured bacterium. RNAcentral's name for it is "partial 16S ribosomal RNA". It matches the Rfam family "Bacterial small subunit ribosomal RNA", at positions 338 to 795 of the family's 1533-position model. The record is from RNAcentral.
CCUACGGGAGGCAGCAGUGGGGAAUAUUGGACAAUGGGGGGAACCCUGAUCCAGCGACGCCGCGUGAGUGAAGAAGUAUUUCGGUAUGUAAAGCUCUAUCAGCAGGGAAGAAAGAAAUGACGGUACCUGACUAAGAAGCCCCGGCUAACUACGUGCCAGCAGCCGCGGUAAUACGUAGGGGGCAAGCGUUAUCCGGAUUUACUGGGUGUAAAGGGAGCGUAGACGGCGAUGCAAGUCUGAAGUGAAAGGGCGGGGCCCAACCCCCGGACUGCUUUGGAAACUGUAUGGCUGGAGUGCAGGGGAGGUAAGUGGAAUUCCUAGUGUAGCGGUGAAAUGCGUAGAUAUUAGGAGGAACACCAGUGGCGAAGGCGGCUUACUGGACUGUAACUGACGUUGAGGCUCGAAAGCGUGGGGAGCAAACAGGAUUAGAUACCCCAGUAGUC